UACGGAGGGUGCAGGCGUUGUCCGGAAUCACUGGGCGUAAAGGGCGCGUAGGCGGCUCAUGAAGGCUGUGGUGAAAGUCCGGGGCUCAACCUCGGAUCGGCCGUGGCGACUCGUGGGCUGGAGCACUGUAGAGGCGGGUGGAAUUCCGGGUGUAGCGGUGGAAUGCGUAGAGAUCCGGAAGAACACCAGUGGCGAAGGCGGCCCGCUGGGCAGUGGCUGACGCUGAGGAGCGAAAGCGUGGGGAGCGAACAGG
RNAcentral lists this ribosomal RNA (253 nucleotides) under uncultured bacterium. RNAcentral describes it as "partial 16S ribosomal RNA". It matches the Rfam family "Bacterial small subunit ribosomal RNA", at positions 524 to 776 of the family's 1533-position model. The record is from RNAcentral.